Molecule: ribosomal RNA, 458 nt
Filed under: uncultured bacterium
Lineage: Bacteria
Description: partial 16S ribosomal RNA
Rfam family: Bacterial small subunit ribosomal RNA
Source: RNAcentral
CCUACGGGUGGCAGCAGUGAGGAAUAUUGGUCAAUGGGCGAGAGCCUGAACCAGCCAAGUCGCGUGAGGGAGUACUGCCCUAUGGGUUGUAAACCUUUUUUGUCGGGGAGCAAAAGCCGGACGUGUCCGGCUGCGAGAGUACCCGAAGAAUAAGCAUCGGCUAACUCCGUGCCAGCAGCCGCGGUACUCCGGGGGAUGCGAGCGUUAUCAGGAGUUAUUGGGUUUAAAGGGGGCGUAGGCGGAUUUUUAAGUCAGCGGUCAAAUCGUGGGGCUCAACCCCAUCCAGCCGUUGAAACUGGGGAUCUAGAGUGUGCAAGAGGUAUGCGGAAUGCGUGGUGUAGCGGUGAAAUGCAUAGAUAUCACGCAGAACCCCGAUUGCGAAGGCAGCAUACCAGUGCACAACUGACGCUCAGGCACGAAAGCGUGGGUAUCGAACAGGAUUAGAUACCCGAGUAGUC